Molecule: transfer RNA, 72 nt
Organism: Ovis aries (sheep)
Lineage: Eukaryota; Metazoa; Chordata; Mammalia; Artiodactyla; Bovidae
Rfam family: tRNA
About the family: Transfer RNA (tRNA) molecules are approximately 80 nucleotides in length. Their secondary structure includes four short double-helical elements and three loops (D, anti-codon, and T loops). Further hydrogen bonds mediate the characteristic L-shaped molecular structure. tRNAs have two regions of fundamental functional importance: the anti-codon, which is responsible for specific mRNA codon recognition, and the 3' end, to which the tRNAs corresponding amino acid is attached (by aminoacyl-tRNA synthetases). tRNAs cope with the degeneracy of the genetic code in two manners: having more than one tRNA (with a specific anti-codon) for a particular amino acid; and 'wobble' base-pairing, i.e. permitting non-standard base-pairing at the 3rd anti-codon position.
Source: Rfam
UCCCUGGUGGCUCAGAGGUUAAAGCGUCUGCCUCCAAUGCGGGAGGCCCGGGUUCGAUCCCUGGGUCGGGAA